UGUAAAUAGAAUGUCAUAUUCUUAAAUUGAAGGCCACGGUGAUAAAAAAAACUAAAAAAUAAAUAAAAAAUAAUUAUUGGGAUCCAGGACAAUAACUAAAUGGUAAUUAUAAAAUAUUUUAGCAAAAUAUAUAAUCCAUAUUUCUUUUUGCUAGUGUAAGAACUCAGUCAUCCAUGCAUGGUGUAAUUGUAAUAUCUUGAGUAUGAAACUCAUAUACUAUGGGUUGAGAACUCUAGACAAUCUACAUCUGCCUUCAAUGCACUCAUACUGUCGAACCUCAGUAUUUUCUGGGCAAUCAUUAUCAGUUAUACAAACAAUAUAUCCUGUAGUGAAAGAAUAUAUAAUAAAAUAAUGUUAGCAAUAUGAAAUAAAGAUUAUAUACAAACUAGUAACUAAAGAAGGAAAUUUGAAAAGAAUGGAAAAAAAAUUACCCUCAACAUUAUUUGCAACAAGAAAUAGGAAAAUAAAAAAAAUUAUGGCAUACACAAACUUAUAACUAAUGGCCAUA
Molecule: long non-coding RNA, 508 nt
Filed under: Medicago truncatula (barrel medic)
Lineage: Eukaryota; Viridiplantae; Streptophyta; Magnoliopsida; Fabales; Fabaceae
Description: lncRNA gene13598
Source: RNAcentral